RNAcentral lists this ribosomal RNA (382 nucleotides) under uncultured bacterium. Its description in RNAcentral is "partial 16S ribosomal RNA". It matches the Rfam family "Bacterial small subunit ribosomal RNA", at positions 355 to 731 of the family's 1533-position model. The record is from RNAcentral.
UAGGGAAUCUUCCACAAUGGACGCAAGUCUGAUGAGCAACGCCGCGUGAGUGAAGAAGGUUUUCGGACCGUAAAGCUCUGUUGUUGGUGAAGAAGGAUAGAGGUAGUAACUGGCCUUUAUUUGACGGUAAUCAACCAGAAAGUCACGGCUAACUACGUGCCAGCAGCCGCGGUAAUACGUAGGUGGCAAGCGUUGUCCGGAUUUAUUGGGCGUAAAGCGAGCGCAGGCGGAAGAAUAAGUCUGAUGUGAAAGCCCUCGGCUUAACCGAGGAAUUGCAUCGGAAACUGUUUUCUUGAGUGCAGAAGAGGAGAGUAGAACUCCAUGUGUAGCGGUGGAAUGCGUAGAUAUAUGGAGGAAUACCAGUGGCGAAGGCGGCUCUCGU